Molecule: non-coding RNA, 92 nt
Organism: Truncatella angustata
Lineage: Eukaryota; Fungi; Ascomycota; Sordariomycetes; Amphisphaeriales; Sporocadaceae
Source: the annotation of a RefSeq genome assembly
GGGGGUGUGGUUUAGGGGUAUAACGUUCGCUUCGCAUUAAAUCCACAUAUACCGAUUGCGAAAGGCCAUGGGUUCGAUUCCCAUCUCCUCCA